This 6720-nucleotide long non-coding RNA is filed under the name Sus scrofa (pig). RNAcentral's name for it is "lncRNA (ENSSSCG00000062887.1)". Lineage: Eukaryota; Metazoa; Chordata; Mammalia; Artiodactyla; Suidae. The record is from RNAcentral.
UUUAUUUAAUCUAUUACAGAGAAUCUAAAGGACAGCAUUUGGGGACUGGAACAGUGUAUGAGAAAUUCAGAUCUCUUCUGAACUGAGAACAUGUGGCCAGAUAUUGAGUGCGUCACCACCCCAUGGGUGCAGAGUCCCCUGUGAUGCUGGUGUUAGCACACGGGACUCUUAGGGGCUCUUCGCUGUUGCAUUCAUUCAGAAACAGCAGAUUUCACAUUCAGGGUCUAAUGCAGAUGCAUUUACUUACUUGUAUCCUACUUUACAUAUAACAAAAUAAACUUUAAAAUCAGUAGUUAAAAGCCUCAGUCAAUAUGAGAGAUUGUGUAGACAUGAGAAAUUACUCCUCCAAUCCGAAUACUUCAAAACACUGAACAAAACUACAAUGACAAAACUAUUACUACAUAGGGAGUUCCGUUGUGGCUCAGGAGGUUACAAACCUCACUAGAAUCCAUAAGGAUGGAUUCCCGGCCUCACACAGUGGAUGUGGCAUUGCCAUGAGCUAUGGCAUAGGUCACCGACACGCUCGGAUCCCACGUUGCUGUGGCUGUUGCCGUAGGCUGGAAGCUGCAGCUCCAAUUUGACCCCUCGCCUGGGAAAUUCCUGAAAAAACAAAAACAAACAAACAAAAAAACUUACCAUAUAAAACAUAGAUAACAUGGAAAUCUCCAGAAAUAAAGAGGGUAGUCAAAGUAGAUGUAUCAGUGAGAGCUGAAGCUAAGGGGCUCAUGGAACGAUCCAGACCAGGUAGAAGUCUGAAUGGCUAGGGGCUGUAAUUGUAAUGACAUCAUUAACGACAUCUUUAAUGACAUUUAAUGCAUUUGAAUGCAGUGAGGGGAGUCCAGGUAAUGGCCACUGUAUGCCAGGAGCUGUUAGUGAAGCACUUACAUAAAGCUUGAGGUCAUAAAGGGCUGCUUCAUGAGUAAAAAUGCUAGAGGAACGUCAUUUACCAAUCUGAGGGAAACUGCAAGAAAGCUUGUCAUCUGCUUGGGCAAACAGAAGAAAAUGAGUGACUGAAAAAAACCCCUGAAAUCCAGACUUGUACCACAAUGCAGGAACAAGGUAUAAAUGCAUACAUUCAGGUUUUCAGGGCAUAUCUACCGAGACAUUAACAAAAAGGCUAGUUUGGAAUGGGUAAAACCCAGAGAGGACCAGCAGAAGCAAAUGUGAAAUCACUUUAUACAGAUAUGCUAGCAAUCUGAGGUAGAUAGGAUUUCUAUUGAAAAUAAUUCCUGAUGAAGAUGUAAGACACAAGAGGAAAUGAAUCAUAAUCAUAAAGAACUUAAUAAUGGAAAUAACAAAUAAUCUUUAAAAAAGUUGGGCUGUGGGAUGGAAAUCCUGUGAAAUCAGAUUGUUAUGAUCAUUAUACAACUACAGAUGUGAUAAAUUCAUUUGAGUAAUAAAAAAAAGUGUAAAAGAUAAAAAAAAGUAAAUUCUAGAAAUAAAAGUACAUAGACAUUAAAUUUUUUAAAAAGGCAGAUGGACUAAACAGUAGACUAAAUGCAGUUAAAAAAAUAAACUGGAAAAUGGAACGGAAAAAAAUCACUCAGAAUAUAGUUGAGAUAAAGAGAUAAGUACAGUUGACCCUUGAACAGUAUGAAUUUGAUCUGUGAGAAUCCACUUAUCUGCAGAUUUUUUUCAAGAGUAAAUACUACAAUACUACACAUUCCUCAAUUGGUUGAAACCUGAGAUGUGGCAUCACCAAUAUGGAGGAACUGCAGGCAUGAAGGGCCAGCUAAGUUAUACACAAAUUUCCAAUUGCACAGAGGAUCAGCACCCCAACACUGUUCACAGAUCAACCAUAGUAAGAUGAACUCUCAGACAUAGAAGACACAGAAGAUAAAAUGAGAAGGUUCAACAUUUGCCUAAUAGGUAUUUCAAAAGGAAAGAAUGGAGAGCAUGAGGGAUUCAAUAUCAGAGUAGGGGUUUUUGCCUCUUAUGUUCUUCCCUGUAUCUCUAGCACCUAGAAGCAUUCCUAAUACCGAGAAACACUAAAUGCUCAAUAAUUACUUUAAAACAGAUUUUUAGAGAAAGCAAUUGAGAAGGCUUUAGAUAUGAAAACAGAGAUGAGGCUUCAGAUUAAUGAGCCCACUGCAUUCCAAGCAGAAUAUAUAAAAACAGACUAUACCUGUGUGUGAGAUGGCACAACAUGAAAGACAAAAAGAUCAGACUGAAAGUCUCUAAGAGAGAAAAGAUAUCACCUACAAAAGAAUGACAGACCAAAAAGAGAUUUCUUGUAAGGAACAAUUGAGACCAAAAGACAGUGGUGUACUAUCUUACAAAAUGCUGAGGGAAAAAUAUCUGCUUAGAACUCUAUACCUUGAUAAGUUAUCUUUCAGGAGUGACAUGAAUAAAAACAUUUUCAAAACCGAAGUACACACAGCAUGGAAAGUAUUAAAACCCCAGACUUUCACUGAAAACGUUAUCAUUAGGAAGAAAAUGAACAUAGAAGUAAGGGAUGGUAUGUAAGAGGCAAGGUUGAGACAAGAAAUUGGUAAAGUUAAAUAAAUUUUGAUUAAAAAAAGAAAAAAAAGUAAAAAUAAUAAUGAUGACUAAUUGCAGGGGUAGGGAGAGGGUGAUACACAACACGGGACUAAACCACUAGACCACAUAACCAGGAAGAUGGGAAGAGGGGCAGAUUAGAUUAAAACCAUCUAAGGCCGUUGCAUUGUUGAGAGGAAAAUAGAGAAAUUUCUUAACUUUAGACUUUGUUAAAUGGAUGCACAUGUUAAAAAUGUAAGACUAACUACUAAAAGAAUACAAACAGAAUCUGUCUUUCAAAUCAGUUGACAGAAGAAAAGCAGGAAUAUAUACAAAACUUGGUCCAAUAAAACUAAUUUCUUUUUCUUUUCUUUUUAUGGCCACACAUGCAGCACAUGGAAGUUCCAGGAGCUAGGGGUUGAAUUGGAGCUGCAACUGACAAAAAAAAAAAAAAAAAUAGAAUUUAGGCAAAAGCAUUAACAGAAAUAAAGGAGGACAACAGAUAAUAUACAAAAUUCAUUCAGGGGAAAUAAUGAUCAGGACCUUGCAUAAACACUGAUGAAUUAUAAGGAGAAACUGAAAAAUUUUUCUUCCAAAAAGAGUGGAAGAUUUUAACAUUCUUUUCUCAGAAACUGAAAAGAACUCAAAAAUCAGGGGGAAAAAAUCAGGAAGAACAUGAGAAAUUUGAAAAACACAGUUAAUAAGUUUAACCUAUUAGACUGAUACAGAAUGCUGCAUCCAUCAAGUAGAGAGCAUAUUUUUCUUUUAAAGCACACAUGAAGUAUUUGGGAGAAAAGUUUAUAUAAUUGUACACAAAGAGUUGCUAUAAUACAGACCAUGCUGUAUCAUUUAAAAGAAGAAAAAAAAAAAACUUAAGUUAAAAAUGGAAAAUUAAUCCAUGGGUUAAAAAGGAAAUACAAGGGAGUUCCCGUCGUGGCACAGUGUUUAACGGAUCUGACUGGGAACCAUGGGGUUGCAGGUUCGAUCCUUGGCCUCGCUCGGUGGGUUAGGGAUCCAGCGUUGCCCUGAGCUGUAGUGCAGGUCUCGGAUGUGGCUCGGAUUCCACAUUGCUGUGGCUGUGGCUGUGGCUGUGGUGUAGGCCGGCAGCUACAACUCCGAUUAGACCCCUAGCCUGGGAACCUCCACAUGCCUCAGGAGUGGCCCUAGAAAAGGCAAAAAGACAAUAAAAUAAAAUAAAAUCUUUUCACUGUUCUUUCCCUAUCCAGUCAAACUCUCAUUUGUAAGGGCAAAAUAAAGACAUUUUCAAGAAUACAAAUAUUUUAAAGUUUACCAAAGACCUUCUAUGAAAGAACUUCCAAAUUUCCAUUGAUGUGAACUCAGAAGGAAGAAGUGGGAUAUCAGAAGUCACAGCCUCCAAAAUGCAUUGAGUAAAUAAAACAGUAUAAAGUAGGUGAGAAAAGUGGGACUAAGGAGAAGUAUACAUAGGAAACAGAAGGUAUAUGUUAUUAGUUAUUCAAAGUACAGGCCAUGAAAUCCUACGCAUAUGCUAGAAGUAGGCCACUAAGUUGGCUCUGUGCUUCCUUUUGGCCAAAUAAGAGAUAGGAAACAUCAAUUAAAGGAUUCACACACAGCAUCUACAAGGCAAAACAAACAAGUUAUUCACAAGAACUAUUCCUGGCACUGAGACCACAAAGACAUUCGUCAUACAGUUAAACGGAUACAAGAUCGGGGACUUUGGGCCAAAUGAGAUAAUUUAGGAAAGAGGUCACUAACUCUUAAAAUUUUUCUCAACAGGGUCAUUUAGAAGCAUUACCCUUACAGAAAUCUCUUCCUCAAGGAAUAAAAGAGAUAAAGUUUCCUACUUACGGCAUGUUAUUUGAAUGACCAGGCAUUUUAGAAAUGCCCAUCUUUAGGUAUAUGUUCCAGGAAAAGGAUAGAUAAGGUGACCUCUGGGGGCCUGGCUGCCUGUGAGGAGACAUGGUGGUUCAGGAUGUAGGCUUUUUCCCAGGCUAUGCCCAGAAUAUUUCCAUCUCCACUAGGCUGGUCCAUCUUGCCAAUGCAUGGGAUCACCCACAUAGCCAGGCUUCCAAAAACUAGUUGGAAGCAAAAGCUUUUCCUCUCUCUUUCCUGUUCCAUGGUAAAUCCUUAACCUACCUAUCUGGACAUUCUAUAUAAAGCAUAGAUAAGUGGGAGCCUGGCAGCUUUCCCUGAGCCUUCAAAUCCUUCUUACUCCCCUGACAAUACUAAGAACAAUGAAAGCCCAUGUUGGUAGAGCUCUGAAGACACAAUUUGCUGAUCUUUAAAAAUCCUACCUUCUACCAGGACUGCUCCAGAAUCCCAUGGGGUUCCUGGAAUUCCAGGCUGGCUGGGAAGCCUCUGAGGAAUUCUGGAUUAUUUCUCAUAGGUACAGCUGGCUCCCAUGGGAAGGUGAGCUACCUCUGACUAAGGACUUUCAAGGAGAAGUGACAGUGGGAGAUGGAAGAGGUGGGAGACAGAGCAUUAUACAAUUAAUCAAAAUAUCAGUUCUAAUAAAGCACAAAUUACUCUCCCUUCCUUUUCUAUUUUUUUUCUUAUAAUUAAAAUAAAAGUAUAUGUGCAGAGAGAUGGUAGACAAUAGUGACUGAGAUGCAUAGACUUUGGCUACUGACCUGAAUUCAAGAUUUGACUCCAGCACAUGCAACCUUGGUAAGUUUCCUCUCUGAUUCUAGCUUCUGAAUCUGACAUCAAGAGAAUAAUAAUAGUAUUUACUUCAGAGUGUUUUAAAAUGAAAUAUAGUAUACAUGUGCUUUAUACUCAAAUGUUACUGUAAAAAAGUUGGGAAAUACAGGCAAGCACAAAGAAAAUCAAAAGUACCUAUAAUCUCACCAUCCAUUUCAAUGCACAUAAUUCAAAUAUGGGGGGGGGGCAUAUUUUUAAAGCAUGAGAUCAAUGCUACUUCAUAACUUGCUUUUAAAUUUUAACAUCAUACCCUAAGCAUGCCUAUAUAAUUUGGGAUUCUUGCAUAACAUGAUUUUAAAAGCCCACGUCAUAUUCCCUUAGGUUAUUUUACUUGUCAUUUACUUUAAAAUAAGCCCUGCCCUCCUUCCUUCUCUGAGGUUCCUACACUUCAUCUACUGCCAAGUCAUCUGACCCUUCCAGAUAGUUGACUGCUUUCUAUUGGCUACCUGGAGAUGCUGCCUUCAUCUCACCAUCGAGACCACCUGCUCUUCAGUCAGGGGCACAUUGGAGCCUUCAUUACAUCCCCAGUGUCCAGAGCAGCCUAACUGGAGCUGCACAGGCAACCCUCAUGACUGAUGGCAAACCACCCAGUUUAACAAGAUUCCAUUAAUUGGUACAAAAGCUGAACAAGGCAGAAAGGUGAUUUCAUUCCAAAUAGUAUAAGGGCAUUAAAUUCUGGGGCAUUCUGCAGCACUGAAUACACGUUAAAAAUUCUCAGGAAGAGGAAGAGACUGAAGAUUUUUAUCUGAGUGCAUUGUUUUUCCAAACACCAGAGCUAAAUAAGUUCAAAAACUUUUUUUUUUUUUUUUUUGCAGCAUAUGGAGGUUCCCAGGCUAGGGGUCUAAUCAGAGAUACAGCUGCUGGCCUACACCACUGCCUCAGCCACACCAGAUCCAAACCACGUCUGUAACCUAUACCAUAGCUCACAACAACACCAGAGCCUUAACCCACUGAGCGAGGUCAGGGAUCGAACCCAUAACCUCAGGGUUCCUAGUCGGAUUUGCUUCCGAUGCAUCACAACAGCAACUCCACAAAUUCAAAACUUUUAAUGACUUUCUUUUUAAAUGGAAGUCACAAGACUGUCUCAGCAAUGACAUUCGAGAUCACAGCAAAACUUUUCUAAUUCAUACUAAUGAGGAACUGCCAAACUCAAUCAGCAAAGAAAAAUGAAUUACAUCCUUUUGAAAAUAAAGGGGUUUCUUUCCAAUGCAAUUCAUUUGAUUAAAAAGUUUUAUUUCCAAAUAGUUCAGUACCUUGACCUGUUUUGAUGGGUUGUUCAGAACCUGAUAUGUUACAACCAUAUUUAUUGUCUGUAUAGUAACAGGAAUAGCUGAAAUUCUUGAGAAGUGCAUUCUCUCUAAAAACAAUAAAAUUUCAACUCUCCCUAUGAUCCUGCUCACAUAGCUCACUCCUUAGGAAAGCUUUUUCUUCAUCAGUCAUGUGGAAGCAAACCCCAGCUCAUGUUGCCCCCCUCCCCACAACCAACCCGGCUGCUCCAGUUCUGAGUGGGCAGAGGUCUGAAGUAUCAACCCAGAUAAAUCCCUAAAAAAAAAAAAAAAAAAA